Molecule: non-coding RNA, 659 nt
Filed under: Pan troglodytes (chimpanzee)
Lineage: Eukaryota; Metazoa; Chordata; Mammalia; Primates; Hominidae
Source: RNAcentral
CCUGACGCUGGGAGGAGAUGCUGCCACCUAGGUUACUUGUAGGACCCUAUACGGCAACCUCCUUUGCCAGGAACUAUUUAGAAACAUCCUGCAGGAAAAUGCAGUGAAGUAGAAGAGACAGGGAUAUCCCAGAAGGUUAUGCAAAACAUCAAGAGAAGAUGAGAGGAGUCUAUAUGUCAGAAUACACAUUGCCCACCUUGCCCAACAGUAGAAAAACAUAAGAAGAGAAAAACAUUAAAAAAUGACAAGGAAGUUAAUGGAAGCAAUGUGAUGGUGUUUGGAGGUGGAGCCUUCAGAAGGUAAUUAAUGCCCUUGUAAGAAGAGGCCAGAGAGCUUGAGCACCUUCUUCCUGCCAUGUGAGGAGCCAAGAAGCCGGCUGUCUGCAACCUGCAAGAGGACCCUCACUAGAAGCUAGCCAUACUGGCACCCUCAUCUUGGCUUUCCAACUUCCAGAACUGUGAGAAGUAUAUGUUUGUGGUUUAGUCAAUGGUCUGUGGUAAUUUUUUUAUAGCAGUCCCAGCCAAGACAGUGCCUCAUUUACUACAUACCAUUUAUAUUAUUAUAUAGGCUCCUUUCAGAAACCCAUGUUCAAAUAAGAGAUAAGAUACUGAAACACAUAACACCUUCACUAGUUUUUAAUAUACAAAUAUUGAGAAAUA